GAUGAAGAACGUAGCGAAAUGCGAUAAGUAAUGUGAAUUGCAGAAUUCAGUGAAUCAUCGAAUCUUUGAACGCACAUUGCGCCCCCUGGUAUUCCGGGGGGCAUGCCUGUCCGAGCGUCAUUACUGCCCUCAAGCGCGGCUUGUGUGUUGGGCCCUCGUCCCCCCCGGGGGACGUGCCCGAAAGGCAGUGGCGGCGCCGUGCCCGGACCUCGAGCGUAUGGGGCUUUGUCACCCGCUCUGGAGACCCGGCCCGCGGCCGUCGGACCACCCCAACCUUUUUAACCGGUUGACCUCGGAUCAGGCAGGGAUACCCGCUGAACUUAAGCAUAUCAAUAAGCGGAGGA
Molecule: unclassified non-coding RNA, 344 nt
Filed under: soil metagenome
Description: partial contains 5.8S ribosomal RNA, internal transcribed spacer 2, and large subunit ribosomal RNA
Rfam family: 5.8S ribosomal RNA (bases 1-120)
Source: RNAcentral